This is a non-coding RNA of Triticum aestivum (bread wheat), 113 nucleotides long. NCBI's taxonomy places the organism in Eukaryota, Viridiplantae, Streptophyta, Magnoliopsida, Poales, Poaceae. The record is from Rfam.
CUUGUACUCCCUCCGUCCGAAAAUACUUGUCAUUGAAAUGGAUGUAUCUAGAUGUAUUUUAAUUCUAGACAUCCAUUUUGAUGACAAGUAAUUCCGGAUGGAGGGAGUACUUG